AACCUAGCACACCUGCGGUGUGUACCUGCGGAGGGAUCAUUACCGAGUUUACAACUCCCAAACCCCUGUGAACAUACCUAUAAUUUGCCUCGGCGGACUCAACGACGGUGCUCCGAGAAAUCGGGCGCCGCUCGCUGCCAGAGGAACCCCAAACUCUAUGUAUUCUUGUGGAUCUUCUGAGUAAAACAAAACAAAUAAAUCAAAACUUUUAACAAUGGAUCUCAGAUCGGAAGAGCACAC
RNAcentral lists this unclassified non-coding RNA (240 nucleotides) under soil metagenome. Its description in RNAcentral is "partial contains 5.8S ribosomal RNA, internal transcribed spacer 2, and large subunit ribosomal RNA". The record is from RNAcentral.